AAAACGUCUCUUAACAUAACGUGAAAGAUAUAAUUACAAAAUUUACUAUUAAUACCAUAAUACAUCAUUCCAUGUUCAUAUUUUUACAUAAGACCAUAAGAAAAAUAGAUGUAAAAACUGCCAUCGAACAAAACACACAAAAGAAAACUUUCGGUGCAAAACUUCGUUGUCCUUAAUCCAUCAUCGCGUAAGCCGACUAACUUCCAUCAAUUCAAAUGAUCAUGGAUCUGAAAAGUUUAACAUAACAUACUUUGAGUAUAAGGAAAUACUCAGUAAGAUACCAUGCUUGAACAUUUAUCAUGAUAAUACUACACCAAAGAAAGCAAUCAAACCCAUACUUCCAUAUUCCGACAUGCCGGUGCCCUUCGGACUUGUCCUAAGGCAUAGAUAUAUCUAACAUUUGUGGAUUUCUCCACCAUAAUCAUAACAUUUGUGGAUUUCUC
This 443-nucleotide long non-coding RNA is filed under the name Olea europaea (common olive). RNAcentral's name for it is "long non-coding RNA (OEUR_LNC008984)". The record is from RNAcentral. Lineage: Eukaryota; Viridiplantae; Streptophyta; Magnoliopsida; Lamiales; Oleaceae.